This 94-nucleotide transfer RNA is filed under the name Actinomycetes bacterium. Its description in RNAcentral is "tRNA-Ser". It matches the Rfam family "tRNA". From Rfam's summary of the family: Transfer RNA (tRNA) molecules are approximately 80 nucleotides in length. The record is from RNAcentral. Lineage: Bacteria; Bacillati; Actinomycetota; Actinomycetes.
GGAGAGGUGCUUGAGUGGCUGAAAAGGACCGCCUGCUAAGCGGUUGGGUGAGUUUAACCUUGCCUCGAGGGUUCGAAUCCCUCCCUCUCCGCCA